AGCAACUACUGUGCAGAGUCACGAUUUGAAACGUGUAACAUGGAAUUAGAAUACUAUCAGUAAUUUAAUAGGAUCUAUGUUUUAGGCCACGGCCAACCGUUUCUUCUAUGGUGGGCAAGGCUUCACUGAGUUUCCCAAACAAUAGAUGCAGUUCUAAACCUUUCUGAGCUAUCCAGAGAUUUGCAGAUCACUGAUUACCUACUUUAUGGAAGGGAGGGAUUUGGUGAGCACAAGACGUUGCGAAUACGUCUUUUCAACCAAAAAUACGUAUUUAACGUCUUUUGCUCACAUGGAAGGAAAAUUAUUCGUAGUAGGUCAUCUCCUACCUGGGGUUUGUGAAUACUCUCAAAGUCGUAACUAACAUGGGUCAACGCAUGUGCAUCGAAUGGUUUAUGCUGGAUGACUGACAUGGUGUGAUGUUUUGAAGCCACAUCGCCUCCAUCUUGGAACUCCCCCAUAUUGUAAAAAUAAUAUUUUGGAAGCAAUAUAAAUGCAUUUAUUCAUACCUGCAUUUGUUUUUGCCACGUUUAUUCUAUUACAAACACCUUAAAGGAGAAUUUCACUAUUUAGGACCCUAAUCUGUAUAUAUUAUGUAAAUGCAAUGUUGUAGAACAAGGGUCUCCAACCCUGUAACUGGAGACCUUACACUCCAGUUGGAACUAGCCUGGUUCAGCUUAUCAACCAGCUAAUUAUUAGAAUCAGGUGUACUAUAUUAGGUUUGUAGUGAACCUACAAGAUGCUAGCACUCCAGGAACAGGUUUGGAAAGCCCGGUUAUAGAAGGUCCCAAAAUGAAGAAAUUUACUUAAUUAGUUUCAUUCUGCAGGUCUUUAAUGUUGUACACAUUAAAUUGUGUCAAACCUUACUUGAUCUGCAAGGUUAUAAUCCAUUUUGUUCAACUCAAAUGAUAUUUUCCAGCGUGUAAAUUUGAUCAGAAGCAUACUAGCCAGGUCCACAACGUGUCAACUGUAAACUAGGGCUGGGCAAGAAGGCCUAAAACUCAUCUUGAUUUCUUUCAGAUUUAUGGCCGAUUCAUGAUAUCAAAAAGCUUUGUACAAAUAAAGGUCAAUACACUGCAUUUCAAACAGUCAGGAAUAAUCAAAUGAAUUCAGGGAAUGGGAAAUUAUACCUGGGCUAAAUAGAAGCCUUUGACAACCAUAUGACCCACUAAUAAUUUCAUUAUUUUAUCAAAGUAGUUUAACCUGCUUUUUUGCAAUAAUCACUAAUCUGGCUUUCAAGUCUGUGUAUGAAAAUGCCCCUUUUUUGUUACAAAUGUUACCAGAACCAUGCACAUUCACUAAUAAUGACAGACUUCUUGUAGCAGGCAUUAUAGAAACUGAACACGGGUCUCAUACACAAUCUCUUAAGUACAAGGCCACGUGGUAGUGAAUAGCCAGCGAAUCUUUACAUAUCAAGUCUAGCCAUCUUGGAUCUAUUUGUUUGCUAACAAGGUAGAACAGUUGAACUGUUAUGAACAGACCCUCCUGUCCAUCUCCAACUCUUUGAACAGCAGCCUGUUCACUUUGUUUAGAUGUGGAUAAGAACAUGCUUAUUUCUCAGAAUGGGAACGAGUUGCCAAUUCCUUAUAUAAAUGCAUAUUUUUAUGAUCAUUGCACAUUUAUAAAACAGACAGCUAGCACAUAAGUCUGUGGCUAAAAUACUGCUAGCGGUAUCACAAUUCAGAGCACGACAAACUGAGCAUACAUUUUCUACAUGUUCAUUGAUACUCUAGUUUUUGUUGGGUCUGCUCUGUCCUACAUUUUGUGAGUUGGGACAUAAAAAGGGUAAGUUCUUAUCUAUUACAUUAAAAGAAUGUCUCUUAAGCGUUUCAGUGUCAAAUUGACUGAUUCUGUUGAAUCAAACCUCAAAUAGUGAGUUAAACUGCUUCUUGUCAGAAGUGAAUCUUUCAUCUUUGUUGUGAGUGGCAGGGGGAGGGUCUUGAUGUCUGUGCGAGUGGGAAAGUGCACACAGCAUAGGAGGAGCGAAGGAGACUACACUAAAAAGAGACGGAACGCACAUUUAAAACGAAUAAAAAAAUUGGGUUACAUGCAUUUAGAUCAAUACACAAAAAACAUACAUUCAAAUUAAUUUGAUAUAUCGCCCAGCCCUACUGUAAUUACAGAGCUUCUAAUCUACCAAUCAAGCUAAUCAUUUUUUAUUUCAAACUACUACGCUACCAACUUGUCUGACUACGAAUACAAGGAGGCGAGGCUUAUUUAUUUGAAUCGGAAUACACAGACGAGGAUCUUUAACAGAUCGGGGAUGAGGGAGAGAGACGGAGCAGAGGGGCUCAGGCAGAUAUUCAACUAGCAGCUGAGGCUCGACUCACCAUCUGGGAACUGGUGGUGUGCCUGCAAUGCUAAGUGAAGCUCACUGAAGACGAGUGUCUUUGCUGUGCGGAUUGGGACCUGCUUAUGCCAGCCUUGGAAAAUCUAGAAUUGUCCGGUGACGAGAUAAGGUUGUCCCGCGAGCCCACCACACUGUGUAAUCAUUGACAAUUACUUUUCCAACCCGUAUAAACCCAGCAGUUGUAGAAAUGUUUUUCCGUGUACUGAAAAUGAACUGGAAGAAGAGACCUUGGCCAUAGGGACCUAAUGGCCAGCUGUCAAUAAAGCAAUAUAGACUUGUGGCUUACAGAGUGGUCUUGGAAUGGGAAUUGAAAAGCGAACGACUUGGAUGUGGUUAGAGACGAGUGUUACCCAGUUGUGUUGUCACCAUCCGCGACAAGUACCCCUCACCCACCGGUGUCUACACUGGAUUCAAGGAGGGAGAUUAGUGCUUUCAGUAUCCUUUUGAACAGCCAUCCACCGUUGGCUCAAUACCUUUUCCUCCCCUUUCUAUUCUCCUUUUUGCAUUAAUAUUUAUUUUGUUUAUACUGCAAAUGUAUAGAAGAUCAAAUAGUCCUUACAAUACAUGUAACAUAGCCUUGAAAAAUCCCCACUUGAGGUUUCUUGUGACAAAAAAAAGACAAUGCCAAAUCAGUCAUUUAUACAUAUAAGUGAAAGCAUUAUUGAUAACUGUUUUGAUAAGCAGUAUUAUUUCUGUUAACUAUAUAUAAAAAAAAUAUUUAUUAUUGCACUUGCCCAGGUGGUAAGGGUAACGCAUGGUAGAUCCCUGAGGUGGAACGCGUCGUGCGUGGGUUUGCCUGCUGUGGACUGGAGAGCAGCAAUCUCAGUUCUGUGAUAUCUACAGAUUCUGAUGCAGUUGUUCCAGGUUGGCUUUUGCUAGGUGAGUAGUUGAUUUUGGUAAACUGGAUAUCUCAGCAGCCAUGGGCAAUCCACUCAUUUCUGUGCUGCCACUGACAUGAGCCUGCAUAUCAUGGAUAAAUAGAACUGGAUCCACCCUAGCCAGGAUCCCACACUAUGUAUUAGCCUACCCAAUAAUAGAACCAUGUCAUUACUCAAUACAGUGGCUUUGUGUCUACCUCCAGCUCAUGUUCAAUGUAGGGGUGUUUUCACAUUUGAAAUUCGGUUCCAGGGAGCAUUGGUGACAUUUUAUACAGAAAAUGUUGUGCUUUCACAAGACCUAUACAUAACUGUUUCAGGAUGUGAUGUGAGACGCACAUUCUACAUGUUGUAAGCUAGCUAGAUAGUUUACAUCAGACAAAAAGUUCCACGUGACUCACCUGGGUAUGAUAUUGCGUUUCACUCAUGCUUUAUAGUCCUAACUAUAGGUAGACCUAGCCAAUCAAACAAAAGCUACAGGAUCUGAAUCAUAUGUGAAAACUGCCUAAGUAAUCUAACAUUGGCAAAUUGUGUUUUGCAGAAUGAUAUAACAAUAUUUGCGAAGCACAACAUGAAAAUAGCUAGAUGUUUACUUUAUAUAAAAACACACACUUGUGAGGCUGGCUAGGUAUCAAGCAAACCUUUAGCUAACAUAAACAAAAUAAAAACAGAUUCAGUGUCCCCCCCUUUCAUCAGUAAUGCUAGCUAACUUUAUUGCAUAUCUCAUCUCAAUUUCUGCUGGUCCUAGUCAGGCGCAGCGACAUCCUUCAAUGGUUGGUAAAGCUGUUUUCUUAAUGUGUUUUUACCAAUCAUUUUUCUUGUUGGUGGUUUACAGAAGUCGUCAUCAGAGAAGGGCUCGCUACAAACAAGUAGGGCCAACGCAUAAAGUCUGUGGAUGGGAGUGUUUAUGCGUCUUUGCAUAACAACUAGCCAAAGCCUCAGUAAUUCUGGGUCUGCCAAAGGAAGUCUGUGAAAAGUUAUUGGACUAGCUAUGUUUUGUCAUUGCAAAAUGGUUUUAAGUCUCUUGAGUUGAUUGAUACUAGUCAUUUGCCAACAUUUCUAAAAAACAGUUUUUGCUUUGUCAUUAUGGGGUAUUGUGUGUAGAUUGAUUGUGGGGGGAGACUAUUUACUCAAUUUUAGAAUAAUGCUGUAAUGUAACAAUGUGGAAAAAGUCAAGGGGUCUAAAUUCUUAGCGAAUGCACUGUAUAUCUAGCUACAGAAAUAAGACCGAUCCUGCUUGUGUUGCCUGUUUGAGUGUUUGUUUAAUUGGCUACUGAUUCCGUGAGCACCAAGCCUCAAGCAACCACAACAUCUGAUUAAAAAAAUGUGUCUGUUUUUAAUCUUUGCUGUGGUGUAAUAAAGGUUUAACACUUUUUUGUUUGUUAGGACAGCCUCUGGUAUUACUCAUCAUUUAUUUGGUGUUUACAGUGUUCCAAAUUGUCAGAAAAUAAUAAUAAGUAGGUAGCUACAGUUGAAGUUGGAAGUUCACAUACACUUAGGUUGGAGUCAUUAAACUCGUUUUUGAACCACUCCACACAUUUCUUGUUAACAAACUAUAGUUUUGGCAAGUCGGUUAGGACAUCUACUUUGUGCAUGACACAAGUAAUUUUUCCAAUCCAAUUCCAAUUGUUUACAGACAGAUUAUUUCACUUAUAAUUCACUGUAUCACAAUUUCAGUGGGUCAGAAGUUUACUAAGUUGACUGUGCCUUUAAACAGAAAAUUCCGGAAAAUUAUGUCAUGGCUUUAGAAGCUUCUGAUAGGCUAUUUGACAUCAUUUGAGUCAUUUGGAGGUGUACCUGUGGAUGUAUUUCAAGGCCUACCUUCAAACUCAGUGCCUCUGCUUGACAUCAUGGGAAAAUCAAAAGAAAUCAGUCAAGACCUCAAAAUAAAUUGUAGGCCUCCACAAGUCUGUUUCAUCCUUGAGAGCAAUUUCCAAAUGCCUGAAGGUACCACUUUCAUCUGUACAAAAGAUAGUACGCAAGUAUAAACACCAUGGGACCGCGCAGCCGUCAUACCGCUCAGGAAGGAGACGCGUUCUGUCUCCUAGAGAUGAACGUACUUUGGUGCGAAAAGUGCAAAUCAAUCCCAUAACAGCAACAAACCUUGUGAAGAUGCUGGAGGAAAGGGGUACAAAAGUAUCUAUAUCCACAGUAAAACGAGUCCUAUAUCGACAUAACCGGAAAGGCUGCUCAGCAAGGAAGAAGCCACUUCUCCAAACCCACCAUAAAAAUGCCAGACUACGGUUUGCAACUGCAUAUGGGGACAAAGAUCGUACUUUUUGGAGAAAUGUUCUCUGGUCUGAUGAAACAAAAAUACAACUGUUUGGCCAUAAUGACCAUUGUUAUGUUUGGAGGAAAAAGGGGGAGAUUUGCAAGCCGAAGAACACCAUCCCAACUGUGAAGCAUGGGGGUGGCAGCAUCAUGUUUUGGGUGUGCUUUGCUGCAGGAGGGACUGGUGCACUUCCCAAAAUAGAUGGGGUCAUGAGGCAGGACAAUUAUGUGGAUAUAUUGAAGCAACAUCUCAAGACAUCAGUCAGGAAGUUAAAGCUUGGUCGCAAAUGGGUCUUCCAAAUGGACAAUGACCCCAAGCAUACAUCCAAAGUUGUGGCAAAAUGGCAACAAAAUCAAGGUAUUGGAGUGGCCAUCACAAGGCCCUGACCUCAAUCCUAUAGAAAAUGUGUGGGUAGAACUGAAAAUGCGUGUGUGAGCAAGGAGGCCUACAAACCUGACUCCGUUACACCAGCUCUGUCAGGAGGAAUGGGUCAAAAUUCACCCAACUUAUUGUAGGAAGCUUGUGGAAGGCUACCUGAAACGUUUGAACCAAGUUAAAGAAUUUAAAGGCAAUGCUACCAAAUACUAAUUGUGUGUAUGUAAACUUCUGACCUCUGGGAAUGUGAUGAAAGAAGUAUAAGCUGAAAUAAAUAAUUCUCUUAUUCUGACAUUACACAUUGUUCAAAUAAAGUGGUGAUCUUAACUGACCUAAAGUUGCCUACAGUUUGGCUAACUGUAGGCAACAUAGCUAGCUAUGGGUGCCUGCAUCCGGGAACAUAAAAAAAAUGACAUUACUUUUUCGUUUACUUUCAGCAUCCAAACGUUAAACAAUGUUAGCUAGCCAUCAUUCAGCCGCCAUCUAGGCUGGUGACAGCUGGCCUGUGGCCCUGCCCAGAAAGACCAUAAGGCCUAUAUUGUGGGUUUUGAGGUAGACUUGAUCCCCAACAGAUUUUCUAAGCUAUUUUCACGUUCCUUCCUAGCGACGAAAUGAAACAUUAGUUCACAAUGUUCAUUCAAAUAUUAGUGUUAUUUAACAUCGUAAAUCAUAGGAAUUUGACGUUUUUAGUGUAGCAUGAUAGCAGGUCAGGCGUCUGAUUCUUUCAGAUUCUUUGGGAGAAACCGAUAAAAAGGCAUCCGGUUAGACUGCUCCAAACUCAAAUGCACAUAAGCGACAGUACUUCACUGCCAAGCGUUUAUCCAAUAUACACUGAGUUUACAAAACAUUAAGACCACCUGCUCUUUCCAUGACAUAGUGCAUUCGGAAAGUAUUCAGACCCCUUGACUUUAUCCACAUUUUGUUACGUUACAGCCUUAUUUGAAAUUGGAUUAAAUACUUAACUAUUCAGACCCUUUACUCAGUACUUUGUUGAAGCACCUUUGGCAGCAAUUACAAUUAUAAUUAUGAUGCUACAAGCUUGGCACACCUGUCUUUGGGGAGUUUCUCCCAUUCUUCUCUGCAGAUGCUCUCAAGCUCUGUCAGGUUAGAUGGAGAGUGUCGCUGCACAGCUAUUUUCAGGUCUUUCCAGAGAUGUUAGAUCAGGUUCAAGUCCGUGCUCUGGCUGGGCCACUCAAGGACAUACAGAGACUUGUCCCGAAGCCAUUCCUGCAUUGUGUUGGCAUGGCUGUGCGCGUAGGUUCAUUGUCUUGUUGGAAGGUGAACCUUCGCCCCAGUUUGAAGAUCUCUGUACUUUGCUCCAUUCAUCUUUCCCUCGAUCCUGACUAGUCUCCCAGUCCCUGCUGCUGAAAAACAACCCCACAGCAUGAUGCUGCCACCACCAGGCUUUACCAUAGGGAUGUUGCCUGGUUUCCUCCAGAUGUAAUGCUUGUCAUUCAGCCCAAAGCAUUCUAUCUUGGUUUCAUCAGACUAGAGAAUCUUGUUUCUCAUGGUCUGAGUCCUUUAUGUGCCCUUUUGCCUACUCCAGUGGGCUUUUGUGCCGUUUACUGAGGAGUGGCUUCCGUCUGGCCACUCUACCAUAAAGUCCUGAUUGGUAGAGUGCUGCAGAGAUGGUUGUUCUUCUGGAAGGUUCCCCCAUCUCCACAGAGGAGCUCUGAGUGACCAUUGGGUUCUUGCUCACCUCCCUGACCAAGGCCCUUCCAUGAUUGCUCAGUUUGGUUGGACAGCCAGCUCUAGGAAGAGUCUUAGUGGUUCCAAACUUCAUCCAUUUAAGAAUGGAGGCUACUGUGUUUUUGGGGACCUUCAAUGCUGCAGAAAUGUUUUUGUACCCUUCCCCAGAUCUGUGCCUUGACACAAUCUUGUCUCGGAGCUCUACAGACAAUUCCUUUGACCUCAAGUCUUUGGUUUUUACUCUAACAUGCACUGUCAACUGUGGGACCUUAUAUAGACAGGUCCAAAUCAUGUACAAUCAUUUGAAUUUACCACAGUUGGACUCCAAUCAAGUUGUAGAAACAUAUCAAGGAUGAGCAAUGGAAACAGGAUGCACCUGAGCUCAAUUCUGAGUCUCAUAACAAAGGGUCUGAAUUCUUAUGUAAAUAAGGUAUUUCAGUUUUUUUUAUUUUUUUAUUUGCAGAAAAAUCAAAAACAGUUUUCGCUUUGUCAUUAUGGGGUAUUGUGUGAUGAUUGAGGGAAAACAUUUUGUUUAUCCAUUUUAGAGUAAGUCUGUAAUGUAACAAAAUGGGAUGAAAGUCAAGGUGUCUGAAUACUUUCCAAAUGCACUGUAGACUGACCAGGUGAAAGCUAUGAUCCCUUAUUGAAGUGGAUUUAACAAGUGCCAUCAAUGAGUGUAGAUGAAGUGGAGGACACUGGUUAGAGACGCCUUGAGGCAAUUGAGACAUGGAUUGUGUAUGUGUGCCAUUCAGAGGGUGAGUGGGCACGACAAAAGAUUUAAGUGCCUUUGAAUGGGGUAUGGUAGUAGGUGUCAGGCGUACCGGUUUGUGUCAAACUGUAACACUGCUGGGUUUUUCACACUCAACAGUUUCCUGUGUGUACCAAGAAUGGUCCACCGCCCAAAGGACAUCCAGCCAACUUGACACAACUGUGGGAAGCAUUGACGUCAACAUGAUCCAACAUCCCUGUGGAACGCUUUCGACACCUUGUAGAGUCCAUGCCCAAACAAAUUGAGUCUGUUCUGAGGGCAAAAGGGGGGGGGUGCAACUCAAUAUUAGACCUACAUCAGCUCUAUCUCCCAGAUGAGGUUUCUCCUGAGCAGCAGGAGUGGAGCCCCAGUCUGAAGCAAGAGGACCCAGAGCCCUCACAGGUUAAAGAGGAACAUGAAGUCUGGACCAGUCAGGGGGGAGAACAGUUUAAAGAGCUAGAGCCUGAUACCAAAGAGUUAAUAUUCACUCCCUCUUUGGAAAAUCUGGAACCACCUCAGACCUCACAUCUUUUCCAAAUGCAAAUUGUGGUCUCACCCACCAUUACAACAAAAGAGAUCAAGAUGAAACCAUGUCACAUUGGUGAAAACUCUUCUUGUCAUGUUUGUGGUAAAUGUUUUGACUGUAAAUCUGGUCUGGAAAGGCAUAUGAGGGCUCAUACUGGCGAAAAACCUUAUUGCUGCACUGAAUGUGGCAAAUGCUAUAGUCAGAUAGGAAAUCUGACAGUGCAUAUGAGGGGACAUACAGGGGAGAGAUCAUACAGAUGCUUUUUGUGUGGAGAAUACUUCAUCACAGCAUCCCAAUUAAAAUCACAUAAAAUCACUCACACGCAGGGGAGUAAUAUAAUCCCAGGGACGUCCAAAACCAAAUCUCGUUUGUGCGCUGGUAACAGUCGUGAGACUAGGGAUGGACCGUAUCAGUGCAAGGAAUGUGUUAAAUCCUUCAGGCAGAAGAGGAACCUGUUACGACAUAUGAGGAAUCACACAGGAGCAAUUAAUGCAGCAAAUGCUUCAACUGGAGUGGAACAUUUUUUUUUAACAUGAUUUACACAGAGGUGAAAAUGUAUUUUGUGGCCACAUUUUAAUGCUCCAGCAACGAAUUCAAACGCGUGCAAUCCACAUCAGUGCAAGGACUUCAGAAAAUGGUUUGGAAAGAUUGGAUUAGAAUAUCUUGAAAAGUAAAUGAGAAACAUCUUAUUCACCAGAGGGAGGAAACAUGAACGUGUCAUUUGGAUCAGUAUGAGUUGACUAAUGGACUUGCAGAACAUUAUUACAUUAUCACAUUUGUUGUUUUUGGUGAAGAUAUUUAGGAUUUGUAAACAGUCUCAAACUUUUAUGAAUAAAAGUUGUACAGCUGUAUUCUAGAAUAUGGUGUGUUAAAAUUGACCAUUGAAUCUAACAUUUUGAACCUGGGGAUGAUCACAUUCCCAGUUAAUCCCCAUCUAAAUUGAUCAUGCGUUUCUGUUUCCUUCCUGCAAACUCUUAUCCUCUGCAGGUUGGGAGGCAGAUGAUUUUACAGAUGCUCUUUAACAUGACCGGCAUACAACAGUCUGUCUUUUCUGGGACAAACAUUACUGUGUUAAAAACAAAUGUAUGUUUUAAUAAAGAUGUGUUUUAAAUGGA
Molecule: RNA transcript, 9947 nt
Organism: Salvelinus fontinalis (brook trout)
Lineage: Eukaryota; Metazoa; Chordata; Actinopteri; Salmoniformes; Salmonidae
Gene name: zinc finger protein 83-like
Exons: 3
Source: RefSeq, a predicted model, not a curated record